Puntigrus tetrazona (Sumatra barb) is the source of this 791-nucleotide long non-coding RNA. RefSeq lists it as uncharacterized. The transcript is spliced from 2 exons. The record is from RefSeq and is a predicted model, not a curated record. NCBI's taxonomy places the organism in Eukaryota, Metazoa, Chordata, Actinopteri, Cypriniformes, Cyprinidae.
GGACGCUUUAUAGCAUUCCAUGUCCUCUUGAAGAAUGAGCAGAUCCUGUUCUUCACUUUCUUCCUUAGACUGACAUGGAUUUCUAAAACGAAAACGAAGAAGCAUUCACUUGGACUUUACAUUUAAUAAAUAUGUCCCAGUCUGCAGGUGACACUCCUAGAGAUGUAGACUCGAUAGAAGACACUUCGUGGUCACUACAGAAAUCCAUGCUUUCUGAAGGCCCUGCUGCUUCUAGAGCCUUGUAGGAUGUAUGGAGGGAUGUUCUGGACAUCGGAGGACUGCGGACGAUUUGGCUUUCACAAGAGGAGAUGCCGCCAACGCUCAGCAAUCCCAAACCGUCAUUACAUCCUCUGUCCUGCAUGAACAUGCGGCUGCAGCUCAUUUUUAUGCAAUGCAUGAUGUCAAAGCAUGCCUCCUCGGAGUCCGAUUCAAAGCUGUUGCGAAGUUCCAACUCAGCGGAGAAUGUGUCGCUUCUGGGCCUGUGAGGGUCGUCAGGGACAUUUUCACUCUCGGAUGAAGUAAAUGACAUGAUGUCCGGUAGAACAGUCAAAAACACUAUCUCUGUAGAUCGUGAAAAGACUUUGAAUAGCUACUUAUUGUAGAUUACAAGUCGCUUUGAGAUAACGCAUCAACCAAACGCAUAAACAAAUGCAAACUUUCUCUCGUUGUCUAGCACCGAAGCGCUGUGACGUAUUGGAAUGUCAGUGGAAACAAACUGAAAUUCAAAUAAUGCGAAUUUUAAAACAGCGCUUUAUUACGCCCUUUAAAUAAAGACGCAUUUUAUUUUCAUA